Molecule: ribosomal RNA, 301 nt
Filed under: uncultured bacterium
Lineage: Bacteria
Description: partial 16S ribosomal RNA
Rfam family: Bacterial small subunit ribosomal RNA
Source: RNAcentral
CGCCGCCACGGGAAUACGAAGGGUGCAAGCGUUACUCGGAAUUACUGGGCGUAAAGCGUGCGUAGGUGGUGGUUUAAGUCCGUUGUGAAAGCCCUGGGCUCAACCUGGGAAUUGCAGUGGAUACUGGGUCACUAGAGUGUGGUAGAGGAUAGUGGAAUUUCCGGUGUAGCAGUGAAAUGCGUAGAGAUCGGAAGGAACAUCUGUGGCGAAGGCGACUAUCUGGGCCAACACUGACACUGAGGCACGAAAGCGUGGGGAGCAAACAGGAUUAGAUACCCCAGUAGUCCCUGUCUCUUAUACC